AGCUUCAGGGGACUGAGCCAGGGUGCCCCUGAAUGUAUAAGGGUAGGAAUCCACAGCGCUGUACUACCCAUAUACCUACUACAUGGCCUGCAAUCGGGAGAGUCACUAGUCAGGCCUGAUCCCGGCUGCAGGCCUGUUACUUCCAAUGCCCCGCGGCCGACGCCGUGACUUGUCUACGGCGCCGCCCGCGGCUCUGGCCCACCCGCUCAAUUAAAAUUCCAUAUUAUGAAGUCGACUUCAUAUUAGACGUUUCCGUCACAUUUUCUUGUUAUUUCGUGUUCAUGUUUGUGUUAUUUAAGUAGGUACUCGGAUUUUUUUAAGUGUGUCUUUGAUUUAUAGCUCAUACCCAGCCUCUUGGCUGGGCUUAAUUAUUUAAUGUUUAAGUUAGAUGUAAAUUCUAAAUAUAUAUUUAUUUUAUAAGGAACAUAAUUUAAGACUUGGUUGCGGUGAAUUAAUUCAACGGGAGGUGGAUUGGAAGCUUAUGCGGUUUUUCAUCUUUUGUUUUUUCAUUUAGUAUUUAGUUUUAAGAUUAUUUGAGUGUUGUUAGUUUAAUCAACAUAGUUUUAUGAAAUAAAUAUUUGUGUGAUCACACUAUUAAAUAAUUUA
Long non-coding RNA from Leptidea sinapis, 606 nucleotides. RefSeq lists it as uncharacterized. NCBI's taxonomy places the organism in Eukaryota, Metazoa, Arthropoda, Insecta, Lepidoptera, Pieridae. The record is from RefSeq and is a predicted model, not a curated record. The transcript is spliced from 4 exons.